CAGAGAUUAAAAAAUCCUAGCAAUACAGGGAGAAAUUCCCAUUUUACCUGCAAAAAGAAGUAAAGAACUCCUGGAAGUUGCUGAAAGAGAAAUGAUCUAAGAUAUUUUACACAUUUUAUAAAGAAGUAUUCCGAAAGUGGCUGGAAUAUGUUCAAAGGAGAGAGUCAGCUGGAAUGUUUUGAAAUGUGACACGAAAGUGAAGAAAAAAUGCCUCCACUUUGACCUUUGAUUAGAAUAAUUAUUCAUACCGAAGACUGCCAGAACUUCUGUUCUCAGAAGAACCUUGCAAGUGUUGGGAAUCUUCAGAAGAACAAAAUCUUAUUUCCAUGACCAAUUACGUCUAACUGGGAGAAGGAAGAUUAUUGUUAAAACGGUAUGUUUUCCAAUUAAAAACUUAUUAAAAAAAGACAGAAAAUGCAGUGUAUUAGCCAAUC
Molecule: long non-coding RNA, 434 nt
Filed under: Cyanistes caeruleus (blue tit)
Lineage: Eukaryota; Metazoa; Chordata; Aves; Passeriformes; Paridae
Description: lncRNA (ENSCCEG00000010469.1)
Source: RNAcentral